Molecule: long non-coding RNA, 333 nt
Filed under: Populus tremula
Lineage: Eukaryota; Viridiplantae; Streptophyta; Magnoliopsida; Malpighiales; Salicaceae
Description: long non-coding RNA (PTRE_LNC000801)
Source: RNAcentral
UCUUCUCAUAGGCCAAAGUAUGCAACUGAAAUCGCUUGAAUUUCUGCUCCUUUCCUUUUCAUCAGUUUGAUAAUCAAUCACCCUGGUUGAUUCCGUUGUAAACUAAAAUUAAAGAGAAAUAAGUAAUUAGAGAAGAGUUAUUGAGGAGAUUUUCGAAAAUUUCAAUGGAAGGAAACUCAUUUUCUUCAGUCAUUAAAGUCGAAGUACCUUGCACAUGAACAAGAUGUUCAGCUCUAUAAUCAAUUCUGAGAAUUUGGAGAAGAGUGUGGCCUGUCUGAGACAACAUUAUGCUCAUUCUCACCAUGAAUUCGUGCUGGAAUGCUAAAACCGGCC